Molecule: long non-coding RNA, 3445 nt
Filed under: Equus caballus (horse)
Lineage: Eukaryota; Metazoa; Chordata; Mammalia; Perissodactyla; Equidae
Description: lncRNA (ENSECAG00000055623.1)
Source: RNAcentral
GAUGUUUGGGUAGCAAAAUCUUACAAUUAUUUCACAUGUGACCAUCUUUCUAGACAGGUAAGGGUAAAUCCCUAGUAAAACAUGAUUCUUUUUGUUUUACAUAAAUUUUUAACAAAAUUUUAUAGGCUUAAUUUCCUCUGACCCUGUUAGUCAAACAUAAUCAGUUGUUCCUGAGCCAUCUCCUAAUGACUCAGGAAAACUGGCAAGUCUUCAGGAAUUUUGUGAACCAAUAGUUUGAAAUCAACUAUGGUGGUGGUAUUUUCACCACAAAAAUUGGUAAAUGAUACAAAUCAUGGCUCUUUCUUUUUUCCAUAGUGUGUUUGCUGUUAAAAAUUUGAUAGCAUGUUGCUACUAAAUAUCCCUUCCACCGAGCAUACGUGAAGGAAGUGUGAGUAGAUGAAGUGUUAUCAGAAGAGGCUGUAUAAAUUAGCAUAUUGCUACAAUCUUUAUAUUUUAUCCUUCAAGGUCUCCAAUCUUCUCACUGCCGGUGCCUAAUUCUUCAACAUUUUAAAUAAUUCAUAUUUAGAAUCACUGGGGUGCCAUGAAAAACACCCACCAUUUAAAAUUUUCUACAUGUUAACAUGCCAUUUAUAAGAACAAAAUGCAUGUUUAACUUUUCAUUCAGCAGAGUUCUAGGAAGGCUAUAAAUAGCCCAUGCUUUUAAAAGAGGUUUCAACCUCAGUUUUCUAGAAAGAAUAAGAAAAUGUGUACUGGCUAUUUAAAGCUUACCCUGUCUUAACAGACGGAAGAAAAAGCUUGCUGAAUCCUUAAAAAUCUUCAUAAUUAAUAUCAGACUCUCUAUGAUUAUCAAUAUCAUGUAUCAACUCAAAUUCUUCUUAAGGCAUGAUAAAGUAACUGGAAAAAUAACACCAAUAUUUAAUUGGUGUCUUUUAAGUGACAGGCACACUUCCAGGCAUGGAGGAUAUAUCAGUGACCCAGACAGAUCUUUGCUCUCCUGAAGCGUUCAUUCUUGUGGUAGAAGAGAAACAAUAAACAUGAAAAAAGACUAACUAAUAGGAUACUUUCAGAUAGUGAUAAAUUAUGUAAAGAAAACAAGACUGAGAACAGAGAAUGAGCACACUGAGCACAGUUUGUCUUCCACAGAAAUCUCAUUUAUUCUUAUGAUUUAACUCACAGAUUCAUCAUGACUUCUUUAUUAUUGCCAUGUUGAUAUUUUACACAAAACUCAGCAAAACAAAAACAAAACUCACUUCAGGUAGACCGUAAGUAUAAAUAUGUUUGAUGUUAAAAUUAAUUGUAGUUUUGUACUUAAUACUUUACACCAGUAAAUUUGACUUUGUUUGUAUUCAGUUACUGCUAUGAGCUGGGUACUGGUAUGAGAAUCACAGCUGCAUUUAAAAACACAUACACACAUAAAAUGUUGUUCUUGCUCUUCAAGGGUCUUCUGCUCUAGCACUCUUGUGUGAAAGAAUAAGAGACAAUUCCAGCUUAAAUUAAUUAUUUCUAUGGAAGAUUUAAGCAUCUGGCUGUUGAUGAUAUUGAGUAACAUAAAUAUUUCUGGAUAAGUGAAGGAGAUGUUCAGCACAGCUUUCCAAAGGAGAAUGCAUUCAUGUUAAGUUUUAAAGAAUGAAUAGUAGAUAGCAAACUCAAGAGGGUGAAGAGGAGAGAACUACCAGGUUAAGGAAAACCACAAGGAGAUUUGAAUGACCAAUACGUUUGAAUAAACAUGUUAAAUUUGUUGGUGAAUGCAAAGCAUAGACAGAAAACAGUGGUUAAAUAUGAGACUGGAGAUUAACUGUGGGUUAAAUCAUGAAGUGCUGUUAAGGUCAUAAUAAUUCUGUGCCAGAUUCAUGGAGAGAAAUGUCAAAGAUUGGUAUUGAGAAUUGUGUUUAAGGUCAAGGCUUUUUAUCAUAGCAGUCAAUUAGGAGAGUAUUUCGCUGCUUGAGAUGGAAAAUAAGGAUUUGUAGUAAAUCUUAGGGGGUAGGGUAUAAUUCUUGAGAUAUUUAUGUGGUGGAAUUGAUAGGAUCUGUGGAUUUUUUGUACCAAAGUGAGGUGGAAGGGUAACAGAUUAUUCUAGGUCAUUCUAGAUUAUUCUAGCUUAUCUAGAAUGAUAAAACUAUGACUGGUAGUUCCAUUCUCAAAAAAUGGUGAAUUCAGGAUGAGGAAUCUGCAGUUCUCUGUCUGGUUUUCAAAGACAUUUAUAAUUUGGCAUGUAUCAAUCUUGCACAUUUUAUCUCCCAUUGCCUCCAAACAUAUUCAUUUCCCUGUUCUCCUCAGCAACUUUAACAGCCCUUGCUGGGCUAUCUUAUUAAUCACUCAAAGCAUGUUAUUGGGCUCCUUCUAUGUUUCAGGCACAGUUCUAGAUACUGGCAAUUUAGCAAAGAAGAAAACAGACAAAUUCUUUCAAAGAGCAUACAUUCUCUUUGGGAAGCAAGGCAUUGAUCAUUCUGGCUAUUUCCUGCUGAAAGGGAAUGAAGAUGGGGUAACUGAGGAGUGAGAUUUUUCAACUUGAGAUUGAAAAUAUUCUCAGGUUCCAUAAAGUAUCCUGAAGUUCUUUGCACCUGCCAGGGAAGUGACCUUCUUUACUCACCUGAGUCACCAAGGAAAACACCUACAGCCAAGCACUGAAUGGAAAAAUGCUUUACUUACAUAAAGAAGAGACAGCAAGAUCAGCUUCAAAGGAAAAGCAGAAGAUAAUUGAAGAUUGAGGGAAUGAAGAAAGGGAGACGUUCUAAAGGACCAGAAAAGAAGCAGUUCAUGAAGUUAUACUUGACAAAGUUUUGUCCAGGUUUUUGGAGAUGAAAAUUGGGGGAUUAAAAUCAGAAUUACAACUAACAUCAUUGUUAGUUUUCUGGGUGCAAUAUUUGCAAAGUUGGCUAGUUUGCAUAUAAAGUAUUUUUCAUUCUGAAUUAAUUUAACUUCAAAUAAAAUAUUCUGUAGGUUAAAAAAAUAAUAACAAGUAUUCAAGUCAAAGUGUAUUGUUGUACCCAGAUAUCUAAACAAGAAUACUUCCACAUGACAGUUACAGAUUGGGAUAUGGUCUCCCUAGAGUGAGAUCCUGAUUGCGCCGGUAUCCACGUUCCUUAGCAUUCUUGGCUAUGAGUUUUAAAGAAGACUGGACACAAAUCCAGCCAUUGAGGUCCAUUCCCCUCAGUAAUAAAUACAGACAAAGAUAUGGAAAAUAAAAAGAAGGAUUUGGUCAUUAGAGAUAAAAAUGCAGCAAAGAAACAAAACUGGGAACACUGGAAUGAAAUUUGAAUUGAAUGGAAGUGGAGUUACAGAAGAAAUUUCGAACUGUGAGAAUGUGAUCCUGCUGCAGGUGGGGAGACUCUCGGGCUCAUGGCAGAGGUUGCACACACACUAAAGCAUAGGAGGAAUCCUGCCAGAGAAGGACCGUCUUUGCUCAGACAUUUGCCAUCUCUUGUGGGAGCUGUAGAGAUAUCACUGACCACAUCAGUGAUAUUGCGAAGAAAUAAAUCUGCCA